This 440-nucleotide ribosomal RNA is filed under the name uncultured bacterium. RNAcentral's name for it is "partial 16S ribosomal RNA". It matches the Rfam family "Bacterial small subunit ribosomal RNA", at positions 338 to 795 of the family's 1533-position model. The record is from RNAcentral.
CCUACGGGAGGCAGCAGUGGGGAAUAUUGCACAAUGGGGGAAACCCUGAUGCAGCGAUGCCGCGUGGAGGAAGAAGGUUUUCGGAUUGUAAACUCCUUUUUUCAGGGACGAUAAUGACGGUACCUGAAGAAAAAGCUCCGGCUAACUACGUGCCAGCAGCCGUGGGAAUACGUAGGGAGCGAGCGUUGUCCGGAUUUACUGGGUGUAAAGGGAGCGUAGGCGGGAUGGCAAGUCAGAUGUGAAAGCUGGGGGCUCAACCUUCAGACUGCAUUUGAAACUGGUGUUCUUGAGUGAAGUAGAGGUAAGCGGAAUUCGUAGUGUAGCGGUGAAAUGCGUAGAUAUUAGGAGGAACAUCGAUGGCGAAGGCAGCUUACUGGGCUGUUACUGACGCUGAGGCUCGAAAGCGUGGGGAGCAAACAGGAUUAGAUACCCCAGUAGUC